GUAAAGAGGGAGGGGGCAGGCGGCGACGCUGAGAUUCUGGAGGCCGCCGUCCAGCCUACCCCAGGGCUGCUGCGCUCGCGGGUUUCCGGCCGCUCCUCCCGCUCCUCGCCGGGUCUGGUCGCCCCUUCGCCUGGGCAAAGGUCUUCUCCUUUCUUAAGGUUCUGGAGGAUCUACCUACUCUGAAAUCACUACCCCACAAGAGCAAUGGUCUCAGGGGAGAGAGUCUGUCAGCCUGGAGGAGUGAGUGCACCCAGAUACCAGGUGAAUCCUCACUCUUGCUGAGCCAAAGAGACUGAGGCACAAAAGCACCAGGGCCAGCAAUAAAGGGAAAAGAUGCAACAAAAAAAUAACCUAAGAGGAGAAAAGGAAGCAAGGAGGAAGCAAUUUUGGUAUCACCAACUAUAUACUUCACAUCAACACACUAAAAAAUUACAGAGCAUCGUGUCUGUUCAGGAUACUGUUCUUUUAACUGGUGAGCUCCUCUUCUACCAUUCUCCUCACAGGUAUUCCUGAGACAUAGUUCUGUUGGAGCACAGACAAUGGCAAAGAAAGACCAUGGAAUUAGUGACCCAAAUGCUCUGCUUUGGUUUUUAUAUAGGGAUUUAGAUCUAAGUGCUUCUGAUAUUUCAUCAUUUCUCCUAGCGAGUAAUUCAGGCCUAUUUCUUCCUAAAGCAGAAGAUAUGGAAUAUUCAGAUAAACAAAUGAAUAGAUAUUCCUUCUAAGUAUUUAAUGGAUCGGUCUUUGUCAGGACAAGUAAGAUAGAGUAGCUACUAUAAAGAUGGCUACUUAAGAUGCAUAAAACUAUUUUAACCCUUUAUGGGUGCUCAUUUCUUAUAUAUUUUCAACUUGUACCCGACAAACUGUCUUAAAGCACUGCCCCAAUUCAGGGUGCUUCGAACUGCUUCAGUUCUAUAUGUUCAGUGAUGGGUACCCAGUUAUGGGUACAGAAGCUUCCUAAUCACUAAUUGUCCAGGGCUCUACCCUCCUCUUUUUGGGAUUAUGGGUGUUUUAAGGGCGUGGAGUAGAUAUGGAGGGAAUGUCCAUGUACAAGCAUUAGUUGGGGCCAAUCAGAGCCCUCUGGCACAGAUAGGGGUCAUUGGUGAGAUGGCCUUUAAGACCUCCAUUAAUGCCUUUUGUGGUUAGGAUGACUAUACAUCCUAGUUUACCUAAGAAAUUCUAGUUUAUGCUAUUGUCCCUAUUGUUCUAAUGUAAUUGGUGCCCUUUUCACUCUCAAGUGUCCCAGUUUGGGCAAUAAAUUAUAUGGUAACCCUGUUUAUCACAGAGCUUUACCGAAUGUACCUACUUUGGCAGCUUUUGUUUUAUGGGCUCUCUGGACCUGUUCUCCUCCCCACCCUAUGAUUAAACUUCCAGCCUCCUCUCCUGACUAACCCCAAGUCUUUUCAUCCCCAGGAAUCCUUUCCCUCCUCCCUUUUUCAUACCUGGAAAGCUUCUCUCCUUCAAAGCCACCCUCUAUCUCCUGUUCCUUCAUUUUUUUUUUCACAAUAAACUUUAGACCCAGACACUGCAACUAUUUUAUCUCCACAGAUGGUCAGCACACACUGGACAUUAAAUAUUUUUUAAUGCUGCCAUACUAGUCAUUAAGUAUUUUUUUAAAACACCCCCCCCCCCGAUCUAGAAGCCAUCAACAAAGGCAUCUUUCAGACUUACUAAACCAGUCUAUCAUAACAGAGAGGGCCCAGACAUGUUUCUCAUAUACGGUGGGCACUGAGUAGUCCUGCACCUUGAAUGCCAUCACUUAAUUCUUACAAUCCCAAAGAGGCAACACAGUAAAACAUUUAGGAGCACAAGAUUUUGAAAAUAAUCUACUACUAAGGUUUAAAUCCAGGUUCCAACACUUACUAAUCUUUGAAAAGUUAUUUUAGAUCUCUGUGCUUCAAUUUCCUCUGUAAAAUAUGAUAAACAGUACUUCUCUUCCUGCCUAUGGUAAAUAUCAAGCAAGUUAGUAAAUGUAAAGCACCGAGAUCAGUGCCUAGCACAGUCACUGCUUUUAAGAUAUUAUCGGCUAGUGGUGAUGCUGAGAUCUACACCCAGGUUUUCUAAAUCUAAACUCCAUGCUUUCUGUGACA
Molecule: long non-coding RNA, 2087 nt
Organism: Acinonyx jubatus (cheetah)
Lineage: Eukaryota; Metazoa; Chordata; Mammalia; Carnivora; Felidae
Exons: 4
Source: RefSeq, a predicted model, not a curated record